Molecule: small nuclear RNA, 153 nt
Filed under: Jaculus jaculus (lesser Egyptian jerboa)
Lineage: Eukaryota; Metazoa; Chordata; Mammalia; Rodentia; Dipodidae
Description: U1 spliceosomal RNA (ENSJJAG00000008659.1)
Rfam family: U1 spliceosomal RNA
About the family: U1 is a small nuclear RNA (snRNA) component of the spliceosome (involved in pre-mRNA splicing). Its 5' end forms complementary base pairs with the 5' splice junction, thus defining the 5' donor site of an intron. There are significant differences in sequence and secondary structure between metazoan and yeast U1 snRNAs, the latter being much longer (568 nucleotides as compared to 164 nucleotides in human).
Source: Rfam by way of RNAcentral
AUAUUUACCUGGCAGGGGAGAUACCAUGAUGAAGAUAGUGGAUUUCCCAGGGCUAGGCAUAUCCACUGCACUUCCUCAAAUCAUUUCCUCAAAUGCUGGGAACUUGACUGCAUAAUUUGUGGUAUUGGAAGAUUGUAUUUGUACUUUUCCCUG